CUCGCAAUCAUUUCCGAUUUUAUUUUUUACUUAUAAUUAACGCGGUUUUAUCUAUCGAAAUUACGUUCCUCCUCGUUCGAAUUUAGAAAACACUGAUUGUGACGCGAUACGAUCGAUGCUUAAGUUCUUUUUUUUUUUUUAAAUCGUCCACUGUUUCGAGGAUUUUUGAAAAUUCCACUUUCAAAGAUGAUCCUCCUCAGUCGUGGAGGUAUUUUAUAAAUGAUCGCGAUAGCAUUUGUUUCCGUAUCACCACGUGCGUUUUGGAAGAUGGGAAGAUUUCAUCGAAUCAGAUAAUUCAACGAGUAAUCGUGUAGAUAUAAAAAGAACAAGGAACAACGUGGAAAAUUGAUAAAUUUUUUAGUCUAGUUGAAAUUUCUUGACUGAUAAUAUCUCGGGAGUGUCAGACAGGUGAAUUUAUAAGGAAAGACUCGAGGUGGUUCGUUGCUUCAUGACCGAGUGAUCCUUUCUUCGGUUUCGUGGGGAAACACGGGGAGGCCGGAUCUACGCUGUUGGUUCUCACAGUUAGGCGAAUGUCGGCUUGGAGCUGCGCGCAUAAUUAAAGAACAAGGGAGAUCGUUCCCUACCAUCGUCUGAUAGUUCGCUCUAACGCUCUGUUCUCUGCCGGAUGAAUCGCAGUCAUACGCCUUAAACAAAGCUUGGCAUUGCGCGAACUCCAUUAUAAAGUCAGACGAGACGUGGAAACAAUGCGGAGGGACUUUAACCCUUCGAAUGGCACCGAAUCUCUCCCUAUCCCUCUUUCCCUGUUUAACACAGACAAUUCUACGCGGACGGGAUGAAUUUCAUUUAAACGUCUUACCUUAAGCUUGGCAGUAAGUAAAUUAUCGAUAACAAUAGCACCGAACGAUGACACGUACAAGUUACGAAAUCAUUCCAACAGUGACUCUUCGACCGAGUAAGAUUUACUCUCGUUGACUCAGCACGAUUAAACGCGAUAGUAAACGAAGACUACGAAUCGAAAAUGGUACCUACUACACCUAGUACACUGUCUGGCAAAAUUACGCGCAUUGAAAUCUCUCGGUUACCGUGACGUUCCACGUUACAAAGGUUAAAUAUCACGAGGUGACAAUGGAAACGAGUUGGACGCAAUACGUAGUACACCGACACCUUCUGUGUCGGUACGUACCAGCUUUUGUUGCGUAACAAACCGAAACUAUGGAACCGGAGCACGGUAAACUUGACGAUCGAUCCAGUCGAAAACUGGUCGUCCGUAAUUACGAGGGAAAGAAAUAAGAUUGAUUACGCUGCUGUCUAUUUUAAGAACGCUAAACUAUUGUUCUUGCUCCAAAGAUAUCUCUACGAUUGUUUAAUUAAAGUUAAUUCUCAUCGAAGGUUGUAUCGUUGAUUUAACACGUAUUCGCAGUGUAAUCUAUUUAACACUUUUAGUAUCGCGUUACUUAGGUACACCUGUGCAGGUAUAUCUAUGUAGCGCGCUGAUUCCCGCGCUAUUCUUUCGUAGAGAUUAACAAGGUAUCUAAGUAACGGGAAAUACGGGUUACUAAUUGAAAGCUUUGAACUUGAUCGAUAUUAGGGCGACCGCGUUUUAACCCAGUUCGAAGGCGAUCGAUAAACCCGGCCAACUGUAGUAACAAUGGCAACGAAAUCGAGUUUAUUUCUAUCUCGAAACAGUUGAACGGAGACCUUCGAAUUUAUCAUAGUGCGCGAGGAGGAAGAAUUAAUCGGUACCGGUCGAUCUUUCGCGAUAAUCGUUGAGCGUGGGUGUACGAAGCGACCAAGUGUGACCGCAACAAUGCCAUCGAAUCUGACGUGACGCGCGUCGAUAGAGCGAGGCUGAGCGUAGUAUCGUUGCGUAACGCUAACAACAGAGCAGAGAGAAGAUCGUAGACCUUCCGGGGAAGGUGAAACUGGCCGCAGCGACUAGCCGGACAAGCGAGCAGCAACGGAUCGUCCUCGGGAAUGACGAAUACUGGACGAGAUCGGUCGAUGGAACACCGAGAGGACGAGGUUCCAUCCGCGGCACGAGGAUGACGCGAAGCAGGACGGUGGUCGGGUUCUCGAGACUACUGGUCCUCGUGCCUGUCACCGUCUGCGCGACCAUCUCCUACCUCAACGAUCAACCAUCGUACCCAUCCUCGGCGUCCUCCUGGUUGCGAUGCAACGACCGAACACCACCUCUUCAGACCUUGGCAAAGUGCCGAUACGACGACGAUUGCAUGCAGAACGCUUAUUGCUGGAACCAGGAAGCCUGUUUGUGCAAAGACAAUUAUAUCGUCUAUAGGAAUCGACGGCAAGUGGAGUGUUUGAAAGUGGCGAGAGCUAUCGGGGAUCCCUGCAUAACGGACAUCCAGUGUCGCGUCACCUUUGCCCCGUAUUCCGAGUGCCGACAAAAUAUCUGUCAAUGUUCCGAAGGUUCGCACUACGUUGAAGGAAGGUGUUACGAGUCGGUCGGUCUUGGUCAGAUCUGCCAGUCGCAUCACAACUGCUACAUCAGGGACAGCUAUUGCGUGACAGGAUUUUGUGCCUGCACAUUGAAAUCUCACCCGAAUCCACAGAACGACGGGUGCAUACCCAGUGCCGAACUGAACGAGAGGUGUUCGCACGAUUUCGAGUGCGUCACCGAGAAUUCCAGAUGCAUCGAGAUUUGCAUGUGCAAAGUGGAUCACGUGCUGUCGAACGAUGGCAAGCAGUGCCUGAACGCCGCAAAUUCGGUCGGGGAUCCGUGUCAAGAGGACUCUCAGUGCCAGAUAUUCCUAGAAAAUUCCAAGUGCGGACCUAACGGCACGUGCAUCUGCGUCGACAAUUGGCACCAACGUGGUUCGAUCUGUCUAAGGGAUACCAGAUUGAACGAACGAUGCUUGAGUCACAUGGAAUGCAUCACCGACUCGUACAAGGAUUCCAGUUCGAUCGAAGUGAUGAACGUUGAUUGCGUCGACGGCAUUUGCGUUUGCGCCACCGAUUACACAAUGACCGAGGACUCGCGCCACUGUAUUCGUUACAGCGAGAACGCCGCAACGAGUAUCACAUCCUGGCGACAAAUUUCUCGAAUCCUGCCUGUCGUGGUGUUAAUCAGUGUCGUGAUACUUUAAACACCGGACAACUAGGAGAUAAUCGUUUAAAUUAUUGUUACGCUUGCUUGUAUCUUUAUCCGACCGUCAGAAUUUUAUAACCACUUCUUUCAUUGUAAAUAAGUCAGUGCAGAUAGAGCAGGCGCAUCGCUACCAAAGAUGGAUCCAUUUUUUCUUUUUUUUUUUUUUUACCAGAUUAAUCGUUUUAGAAGUUGAUAUUUAUUUGCGAUCGUUUAAACGCGAAUUAAUAUAAAUAAUAAUUGUAAUACUGCUACCUAACGAAUCAACGAUAUUUUAAAUAGACAUUAAUGAAUUUGUACAAAAAUAUAUUUGUUUUGGAAAGAAUUUUAAGAUGAAUCAAGGAGAUUCCAGUCCUCUUUGAUCAUAUCCGCGGCCUUUUCAGCGAUCAUAUAAGCAGGCGCGUUUGUGUGACCACUUACUAUGGUCGGCAUUAUACUAGCAUCCACCACUCUCAGACCGUUAAUUCCGUGUACCCGUAACCUAUGGUCCACCACGCCCGAUUUCUCUCUCGGGGCCAUCCUACACGUACCUACGAAAUGACCCAGAGUCGUGGUCACAUGGCGAGCAACGCAAACCCAAUAGGAAUCACUGUUAAAUGGAACAGCCUUGCAUCCUGGAAAGGCCACCGGCAGUAGAGUCGCGUUAAAUCGUUUAAACGCUUUGGUCGAUGCGAUUUCUAUAGCCUGAAAGAGUAUUGUUAUAAGAGUGAUACCGUACCGAAAGAAAGUUACAAACAAGUACCGGGACGAUGGAGAACGCGUCGAAACCUAGGUAAUCACCGAACACCUCUUUGUAAAAUUCAUCCGUCAGACCAAGGAGUCCUCUGAAACUGCCCGAUAUGUCUCCGGUUAGAGCGCUUAUUCCAAGAACCAAUUCGAUAUCGGGUACGUCGAUUCCUUUCGUUUUCGCGUUAUCCAAAGCCGGGUUGAAAAACGAUUUCAACUUAUCUGAAUUCACGACGAUCGAAGUGACGUUCGGAGAGUAAGACGCUGAAAGAGUAUAAAUAUUCACGAUCAUAGAUUCAUUAUAAUUUGAAAUGAAUCGCGAACGUCACCUGGUUUAUUGCCACGUCCCUUCGAGAAAGACUUAUUUGAUCGCGAUUUCUUUUCUUUGUUCGGCUGAUCUCGUUUGGUAUUGAGAAAGGCUAGACAUUCGGCCCCACCCGGGACGGUCAGAGGACCCGUUCCCUUCGCGAAAUAAUCAAAUGUAUUGGCCAAAUUCGAUGCGAGGCGAGGCUCGACGAUGGUCACGCUCUCGUUCACGAGAAACGUCAAUGCCGACAUGCUGACGUGAUCUUGUAGAUUGUAUCCGACCGGAAGAUCCUCGAUCGCCUCGAUGUCCAGCGACUGCAAAUGCACUUUGGAUCCUAUCCCGGACAACAUCAAUAGCUGCGGCGAAUUCAACGUGCCUGAAUAAACAUGAGUAGAUAUACGAAUCAGAGAUGCAGACGCAACUGGAAUAGCGUACCUAAAAUCUCUUUGAUAGAAUAUUGAAAAGUCACCUGCUGAAAGUAUCACUUCUUUCCGGGCGGAAACGAACAGCUUUUGCCCAUUUUUAACGAAUUCCACGCCCACCGCGGUUUUCGUAUUUCGAUUUAUCGCGAUCCUCGUCACUUUCGAUAAUUUCGACAGAUGGAAAUUCGGUCUAUCGCGGAUAGGCCUCAAGAACGCUUUAUUGGCACUGACCCUGUGACCGUUUCGUAGAUGAACCUGUACCGAGGAGAAACCGAUCAGCCUGUCCGAAUUGUAAUCGAUUACAUCAUAUCCCAAUUCAUCGCCGGCACGGAGAAAGCAUUCUUUCAGUGGCGAGCUGUAUGGAGCAGUCGUGACGUCCAGGUAUCCUCCGUGGCCAUGAAAUCUGACGAGAAAAUCUGUGUCAUAUCGCGAAACAGAGGAGGAGCGUCGAAAUCGAAAGCUUUCCUAUUACCUAACGUCUUGAUCCAGGAGUCUACAAUUUUCGGACUUCGUAAAGUAUGGCAGUAUCUCUCGAUAACUCCAUCCAGGAUUGCCUUGCGCGACCCAGUUAUCGUAAUCUCUCGGCGAUCCCCUGGAAUAUAUCAUGAAAUUCACCACCGAGGUGCCACCGACCGCUUUACCCCCGAACAUGUUGCAACGACCGUCGUUCAUCGACAGACAAUAACCACCGCUACCGUCCGGAUUCUGGGGCCUCGGUUCGCUUCUCUGCCAUCGAGCAUAAUCCGUGAUGUGCAGAAUCGAGGCCAACAGGGGUAUGUCUGUGAGGAAUAUCUCAUCUUUACCCUCUUCUAACAGCAACACCUUCCACUCUGGGUUCUCCGUUAAACGAUUGGUCACCACGGAGCCCGCUGAACCGGCACCUAUCACGAUAAAAUCGUACUCAAUGGACGGGAUCCUCUCGUCCGGAACCAAGUCGUAGGACGUUGUCCAGAAAGGGAAAACGAAGUGAUAUAUCGUCUCCAGGAUGGCAGGCGGGAGAAUACAUUGCACCUGAGAUACGAACAAGACAGUCGCUACCGAUCUGAACAUCGUGGUUCGAAUUGAACGAACACACGCCUGCGGAAGAGGGUGAGAUUUAACGAAAUACACCGGACACUGUUAGACACCGACGAUUCAGAGAUCCUGACGCGAACACGAUUCCACGAUCGAUCGACUUGCUCGACUCCGAGACAAAUCUAGCCAAAGGUGCGCGGGAAGCUUCAUGGACUCCCAUCGUCCCCGGCUCUCCCGACCUUUGUGACUCGAGAUUUCGUUUCGAAGUAACGAAAUCACUCGACGCGAUUGGUGUCGGCUAGCAAAGACAGCUGGAAUUCUUGAUACCGUCUAUACGACCAAGGUCCCGUGACGCAAACAGAAUGAAACUUGGAUACGAGGCGAAUAUCAAUGAUGAACGUGAACGCUUGGCAAAAGAGCCGAUCGAUAAUCCAAUAUUAACGAAUGCAACUUUUAUGGCCCGUUGGCGAAAUUUUCGUGUACCGUCGUUCGAAAUUCACUGUCAGUGUCAAUGGCACACGUGGAGGUUCAGUUAAACAGGAUCAAUGCUCUGUUAAUUAUUAAAUUAUCCGAUCGGAACAUAUGCGUAUAAAUAUGUUUAUCAUUCAUGAGAUUUUAAUUUGUCUCGUUUUCAUAAUUCUCUGGAAGAUACUGUCCGUGAUCCAACAUGAUCCAAGAAUAAGAUAAUUACUGGCAAUGAAUGAAAACAUUAAUAAAUAGGUAGAUCAAGGUCUGUUUAUGUGUAAAUGUAGAAUCAAUGUCAUUAUUUUCUUACGAUCGAAGGAGUGAAAGUAAAAUUAAUUUAUGCUACAAUGUUACGAAGUUGUAUGGAUAAAAGUGGGACUCGUUAGAUCCACGCGUUAAUGGAACGAUGCGAAGCACAGUUGUUAGCGUAACGAUUAACACGUUAUUGACACAAAAUUUAUGUAACAAGGUUUAUCGCUACCUA
This is a non-coding RNA of Osmia lignaria (orchard mason bee), 6482 nucleotides long. The record is from RefSeq and is a predicted model, not a curated record. NCBI's taxonomy places the organism in Eukaryota, Metazoa, Arthropoda, Insecta, Hymenoptera, Megachilidae.